UGUGGUCAGCUCCUCUCAAAUGAAUCAGCUUGCCAGUGUUUGGUGGCAUCGCAGGUGUGAUAACUAUCUACGCUUGUGGUGUUCUGCCAGAUCACCUUCAGCAAUGGAGGUUCACUGGAGCUCACAAAUGUCUCUCCUCAGUGGGGACAGCUCUCUGAAUGUUUGAUCUCAAAUCAGGUAGGACUACCCGCUGAACUUAA
This 200-nucleotide unclassified non-coding RNA is filed under the name soil metagenome. RNAcentral's name for it is "partial contains internal transcribed spacer 2 and large subunit ribosomal RNA". The record is from RNAcentral.